GGAUUGAAUGGUGAGGCACUACGACUCCACAACCCAUAUUCUCCCUAUAGAAAAAUCUUCAAGAGCUCCGCUAAACUUCCGGUUGGGACAGCCAUGACUUGGUACAAGACCACCUUCCAGGCUCCCUCAGGAACGGACCCUGUGGUGUUGGACUUGCAAGGCAUGGGCAAGGGUCAUGCAUGGGUGAAUGGGAAUAGCCUGGGCCGCUUCUGGCCAACACGGACUGCCGAUCCCAAUGGAUGCGGAGGCACAUGUGAUUACCGAGGCAAAUAUAAAGCGGACAAAUGCUUGAGCAACUGUGGAAAUCCUACUCAAAGAUGGUAAUUAAUGG
This 331-nucleotide unclassified non-coding RNA is filed under the name Hevea brasiliensis (rubber tree). Lineage: Eukaryota; Viridiplantae; Streptophyta; Magnoliopsida; Malpighiales; Euphorbiaceae. The record is from RNAcentral.